GCUCCGAAGUUCGUGGACUUCUCCGCACCUGAUCGUUGCCACACCGAACACAAUGAUCGUUAUUGGUUCUUCCUCCGUGUCGGAUGUGAUCAAAAGCAUGAAGAAGAAAUGGACUCUGACGCAAUUUAUAAUAAUUUUGUACUUAGGGUUAUGGCAGCUAGGAGUCCAAGUGUUGGGCUUCGAGAAGCUCUUUGCAAAAGAGACUCGAGGUAAAUUCAUGGAAAUCUUUUUCUGUUUUUCUUCAUUGAGACUUACGUUUUUGAUUUCUUCAUUGAUUUUUUUAUUGUGAUU
Molecule: long non-coding RNA, 291 nt
Organism: Hibiscus syriacus
Lineage: Eukaryota; Viridiplantae; Streptophyta; Magnoliopsida; Malvales; Malvaceae
Exons: 3
Source: RefSeq, a predicted model, not a curated record